Non-coding RNA from Cricetulus griseus (Chinese hamster), 45 nucleotides. Lineage: Eukaryota; Metazoa; Chordata; Mammalia; Rodentia; Cricetidae. The record is from Rfam.
ACAAAGGCUCUUUUCAGAGCCACCUACUUUUUUCGGUAAAAAGUG